RNAcentral lists this ribosomal RNA (274 nucleotides) under uncultured bacterium. RNAcentral describes it as "partial 16S ribosomal RNA". It matches the Rfam family "Bacterial small subunit ribosomal RNA", at positions 523 to 796 of the family's 1533-position model. The record is from RNAcentral.
AUACGGAGGGGACUAGCGUUGUUCGGAAUUACUAGGCGUAAAGCGUACGUAGGCGGAUCGGAAGGUAUAGGGUGAAAUCCCAGGGCUUAACCCUGGAACUGCCUUAUAAACUCCCGGUCUUGAGUUCGAGAGAGGUGAGUGGAAUUCCGAGUGUAGAGGUGAAAUUCGUAGAUAUUCGGAGGAACACCAGUGGCGAAGGCGGCUCACUGGCUCGAUACUGACGCUGAGGUACGAAAGUGUGGGGAGCAAACAGGAUUAGAAACCCCAGUAGUCC